This 320-nucleotide long non-coding RNA is filed under the name Brachypodium distachyon (stiff brome). Its description in RNAcentral is "long non-coding RNA (BDIS_LNC000638)". Lineage: Eukaryota; Viridiplantae; Streptophyta; Magnoliopsida; Poales; Poaceae. The record is from RNAcentral.
AUGGUUGUGUGCAUCGAUUGAUGCAGAGGCCGGGGUGCUCCCCCUUUUUUUUUAAAAAAGUAUUCUCUCCGUUCCUAAAUACAAGUUUAUAAAAAAAAAAUCUAUGAAACAAUAUCAAAUGGGUAUACUAUCAAAACAUAUAAUGAUAAAUUUACUAAAGCUAAUUUCCAGUUCUAGAUGUUGGUAAAAAAAAUUAUAAACUUGUUUGAAACUUAAUGAAGUUUGACUUGUAUAAAUCUAGAACUUCUUAUAAUUAGAAACAGAGUCAGCACUUAAUAUUGCUGUCUUUACACUGAAAACGAACGCAGAAAAAACGGUGA